RNAcentral lists this unclassified non-coding RNA (132 nucleotides) under uncultured Xylaria. Its description in RNAcentral is "sequence contains ITS1". The record is from RNAcentral. Lineage: Eukaryota; Fungi; Ascomycota; Sordariomycetes; Xylariales; Xylariaceae.
AAGAGUUAUAACAACUCCUAAACCCCUGUGAACAUACCUCAUGUUGCCUCGGCAGGUCGCGUCUCGUGCCCUGCCGGCGGCCCACGAAACUCUGUUUAGCAUUGAAUUCUGAACUUAUAACUAAAUCAGUUA